CGUUUAUCUCACCGCACAAGUCCUCUGAUAAAGGCUACGUUAGUUGUCACAAGGUGUCAGUGCAAACUUGAGUUUAAUUACACAAACUUGUAUGCUUUCUCAGGUUUUAAACAUGCCGUGUUUAAAGAGGAAAGACACAUCCCCCCUUUGUCUUUGUUUUAACAUAUUGCACAUGUAACGAAAAUGAGAAUCGGAUCAUAGAGUUAGAGUUCAUAUAAACAGAUUGUAUUCCCAUUUAGACAGUAGCUAUUUACUCCAAAUAAGCUCGCGUUCUUUAGCUAAACGGCCCUAAACCGUUUCCCAUUCAUUCUCAAUGGUAGUGCUAAACCACUACGGAUGCAAUAUACUUUCGGCCGCUAGCGCUCUCGUGGCGCUCUUCCGCGUUUCGGCACCGCGGGAAGUUUGAAUUCGCAGAAGAAGAAAACAGCCUCGGUUGUUUAAUUCAACGCAUUCUCAGCGCAUCUGUCAAAGAGACCACUGUUUCUACACUGCUGUCAUCUUCUCCUGGUACCAUGCAGAUCCUCAGUCAGAUGCAGGAAGUACAUAUACGCCACCUCUGCCUCUGCUGGCCUCACCUGAGACCCGUACUGGACCUGUGAAGACUGAUGGCAGGGUGUUGAGCACAAACAUAGCCCAUUGACAACUUGCUUAAUAAACACCGUGGGAAGAAGCACAUCCUCAGGAGCAUGCAGCAGUGGUCCACAAUUCCUCUACUGAUCCAAACAGCAUGCUCCAUUCGACCACAAAACUGCACAUUUCACUGUAUGUCAAGCACCUGGCCAAACUACUGAACAUCAGUUCUUUAUUAAACAACUCCAGAGAAACGCCUUGAAAGCGGGUAGUGAAUCAACCAGUGUGCCAGUGGUAACAAUGAAGCCUGCGGAUGCAAACCCACCAGCACCUGCUCUGACCACACUCCUAACUCAUGAGACCAUUGAGACAAUUGUGUUAUGGAGCGGCAGCAGCAACCUGAGGAGAAGACUUGUCUUGCUUGUGGACAGCCAAAGAUGGUUCCUCUAUCCACUUUUUUCUUAAUCAGCAAGGCCCUGUCAGGUACUUCUACUGUUCCACAAAGGUUUUUAAUGCUUACAGUGAUUAAGAACUAACACACCCCAGAGUUAUUUAAGAGUGAACUUGAGGACACAAAGAAAUGGGUGCAGGAGAAAGGACAGCAAAAACACAAAAGGCCUGAAAUUGAACACGUUAGUCGCUUGUGCAGAUUUUGUAAAAUGGAGCUGAAGCAGGGUCCAAACAGUCCUCACAUACACACAGGCUUUCCUGGCAUAGCAGGGAAAUAUGUUAAUUGCCCUGCUGAAGUCUUUUCCAUUUACCAACCUCAGGACAUGCAGAAAGAUGACCUGGAAAGAGUUUAAAGUGUCUGCAUUUUACGAGAUGGAAAGACAGAGAUGUGUGGCAGAAAAAAAAAAGAAAUAAAUGACAUUUCUUGAUCUUUUGCCCCUUAGUAAUAUUUAACUCAUGUAUAUACUGUAUAUUUUGAUUUGUUUAUUGUUCAGUGUGAGACUGUUAUAUGUAUAUUUUGUCAGAAUUCUAUUUUUCUUUAUACUUUAUUAUUUUGGAUCAGUAUUUACUAAUCUUAAAAACAACUGAAAAUUACAAAUUGCUUCACGAGUGCUGUGUUCUUUUUCAUAGGACAAAUAUUUUACAGUUUCUAUGGUUUUGGAAACCCUUAAUUGAUUAUUUAACUUAAGUGUGACUUAAAUUAUUCCAUCACUUAAUCAAUUUUCAUUUAGUACUUGAAUAUUACUUAGUUUGAGUCAAAUUUAAAUGCCUCUUAUUUUCAUUUCAAAAGCCAUUUAAUAGAGACCAUUCAUGUUUAAUAUAACCAUUAUUAUAUAAUUCAUGUUUUCAUAUAACCAUGUAAUGUAUACUAUUAUUUUACUGUAUUUCUUUUAAUACUAAUCAUCUAUUCAUAAUACACAAAUUUAAAAUACUUUGCAGCUGUAAUGUAUUGGUAAAUUUUAUAAUUUUGUUUGAUAAAAAGACAAAGCUGUGUUUGUGUAAUGGUUUAGAUCUGCGUGAGUGGGAUUCGAACCCCGGUCCAAAUAAAUACAUGAAAAAUAUCUGAUUGGCCGUGACAUCAUUUCCGCUCUUUGGCUAUGGAAUUAUUUUUGUGUCUUUAUUAUGCAAACAAAAAUUCUGUGUUUGAGAGCAAAAGUAAUUAUUUUGUAAUUUAAAAACUUUUCAUCACGAAACCACAAAUAUUGCUCUCUUUUCUGCCGUGUUUUUUUGCGAGUCUAAAACUUUUGUUUGCGAGUUGAAAAGUUUUGCUUGCGAGUGAAGCUGUGUCUCAGUGGGCGGUCUCUACGCACCAGGAUGAAAUGCCUAUUUCUAUUGGCCAUUCUCGAUUGAAGUGACAGGUUGACCACGCCCACUACGCUUUCCCGCCACUGCCGCCAGUCUGACAGAAGAGCGAGCUUCUAUCAGCAAUGGCCAGCAACCGCUCGUUUACUGGUGAAAUAAAAUGGCCACAACCAAAAAAGUGAUUUGUGACACACUUGAAGAUCUUCUGGAAAAGGAGUUUGAAAAAUUCAAAUGGGAGCUGUGGAAUGGUGUAGCGCCAGACAUCAGCCCCAUUUCUCGAGGAAAGUUGGAAAAAGCUAAAAGCCAUGAUGUUGUGGAUCUCAUGGUGCAGCAGUACGGCCCUUCAGACGCCGGGAAGAUUGCAGUCAGAGCACUACACAACAUUAAUCAAAAUGAGCUUGCUGUCCAACUGAAGGGAAAACUUCAGGAAGUUCCAGAAGACGUUUCUGCUGAAGGUGGAGCUUCAUCCGGUGCAGCGGCUGCAAACGCUUCAACUGCGGGAGUUAAACAGACCAUCUCUAACAGUGGAGGAACCGUAAAGGCCCAUGUUCUUCAUGGUGGUGUUUUUAACGGUCCAGUGAACUUCAGCUAAUGUUCAGGGAUCUAUCUAUCUUAUAACAAUGAUUUUAAUGACUAAAAUGGAAAGAAACUAAAGCAUUUGUUAUUUGGUGUUUGAUUAUUUAGACAGCUCGUAGUUUAAUAGGUAAAAUCCUCAUAUUUGAAAUGGAAGCUGACUUGUGAAUUCUUAUUUACUUAGUUUUUAUGCUUAUUUACCACAGCCACAUAUAUGUUUUAUACAUUAAACUAUAUACAUUUUUUUUUUACGAUUUCAAUGUAUUUGAGCCUAAAAACAGUCUGAGUAAUUUUGAACAUCAACUCUCAAGUGGCAGCUUUCUAAAAAUGCCUGUUAUGUGUGGAAUCUGAAUGAUUAAUGACAAAGUUUUUAUUUUGAGUUUGUCAUUUAUGUACUUCCUUGCCACAACAUAGGGGGUACCUGAGAAGGGGGGCUGCCAAUGUUUGUAUAACAUAUUCAUUAAAAACCGCUAUAAGCACA
Molecule: RNA transcript, 3376 nt
Organism: Onychostoma macrolepis
Lineage: Eukaryota; Metazoa; Chordata; Actinopteri; Cypriniformes; Cyprinidae
Gene name: caspase b-like
Exons: 5
Source: RefSeq, a predicted model, not a curated record